GACGAACGCUUGCGACGUGCCUAAGAAAUGCAAGUCGAACGGGGGAGCAAUCCCUAGUGGCGAACGGUCGCGUAACACGUGGGCAACCUGCCCUGAAGCGGGGGACAACAAGUCGAAAGAUUUGCUAAUACCGCAUGUGUCUCGCUGUGGCAUCACAGAGGAGACAAAGCCGCAAGGCACUUCAGGAUGGGCCCGCGGCCUAUCAGCUUGUUGGUGAGGUAACGGCCCACCAAGGCUUCGACGGGUAGCUGGUCUGAGAGGACGAUCAGCCGGAUUGGGACUGAGAUACGGCCCCAGACUCCGUACGGGGGGCAGCAAUUAGGAAUCUUGCACAAUGGGCGAAAGCCUGAUGCAGCGACGUCGCGUGAAGGAU
RNAcentral lists this ribosomal RNA (373 nucleotides) under uncultured bacterium. RNAcentral's name for it is "bacterial SSU rRNA". It matches the Rfam family "Bacterial small subunit ribosomal RNA", at positions 28 to 409 of the family's 1533-position model. The record is from RNAcentral.